Molecule: ribosomal RNA, 253 nt
Filed under: uncultured bacterium
Lineage: Bacteria
Description: partial 16S ribosomal RNA
Rfam family: Bacterial small subunit ribosomal RNA
Source: RNAcentral
UACGGGGGGGGCAAGCGUUGUUCGGAAUUACUGGGCGUAAAGGGCUCGUAGGCGGCCAACUAAGUCGGAUGUGAAAUCCCCAGGCUCAACCUGGGAACUGCAUCCGAUACUGGAUGGCUUGAAUCCGGGAGAGGGAUGCAGAAUUCCAGGUGUAGCGGUGAAAUGCGUAGAUAUCUGGAGGAAUACCGGUGGCGAAGGCGGCAUCCUGGACCGGCAUUGACGCUGAGGAGCGAAAGCUAGGGGAGCAAGCAGG